UGGCCGUGGACUCGGAGGGAACGGAAAGCCUUGUCCCCAUCCCGUCUGCUCAAUUUUCCCUCCUUCUAGGUGGCAGCACCGGUGGCAGAAUAUUAACUACCAAUUCCUGGGCAAGAGGAAGAGACAUCUAGUUCCCUUGCGCCCGUGAGAACUGGGAUUUGGGGAGAAACUUCAGAUGGUCCCAAAGCCUACUUGUGCCAAGCCAGGAUGAACAGGAAGAUGACCUAGGAGCACUGGACAAUUUCAUGUCCCCUCUCUGAGGGUGAAGAUUACCCACCUCUGCCUUCUUUCAUGGACUCUCUGUGUUUCUGCACUUCUCUGCUCAAAUAAAUCCACUUUCAUCUCUC
This is a long non-coding RNA of Pteropus alecto (black flying fox), 347 nucleotides long. RefSeq lists it as uncharacterized. The transcript has 2 exons. The record is from RefSeq and is a predicted model, not a curated record. NCBI's taxonomy places the organism in Eukaryota, Metazoa, Chordata, Mammalia, Chiroptera, Pteropodidae.